UACAGAGGGGGCAAGCGUUGUUCGGAAUUACUGGGCGUAAAGGGCGCGUAGGCGGCCUUCUAAGUCGAACGUGAAAUCCCCGGGCUCAACCCGGGAACUGCGUCCGAUACUGGAAGGCUUGAAUCCGGGAGAGGGAUGCGGAAUUCCUGGUGUAGCGGUGAAAUGCGCAGAUAUCAGGAGGAACACCGAUUGCGAAGGCAGCUCGCUGGAACGUUACUGACGCUGAGACGCGAAAGCGUGGGGAGCAAACAGG
Molecule: ribosomal RNA, 253 nt
Filed under: uncultured bacterium
Lineage: Bacteria
Description: partial 16S ribosomal RNA
Rfam family: Bacterial small subunit ribosomal RNA
Source: RNAcentral